CCUACGGGAGGCAGCAGUGAGGAAUAUUGGUCAAUGGACGAGAGUCUGAACCAGCCAAGUAGCGUGAAGGAUGACUGCCCUAUGGGUUGUAAACUUCUUUUAUAAAGGAAUAAAACGAGGCACGUGUGCCUUUUUGCGUGUACUUUAUGAAUAAGGAUCGGCUAACUCCGUGCCAGCAGCCGCGGUAAUACGGAGGAUCCGAGCGUUAUCCGGAUUUAUUGGGUUUAAAGGGAGCGUAGAUGGGUUGUUAAGUCAGUUGUGAAAGUUUGCGGCUCAACCGUAAAAGUGCAAUUGAUACUGGCAGUCUUGAGUACAGUUGAGGUAGGCGGAAUGCGUGGUGUAGCAGUGAAAUGCUUAGAUAUCACGAAGAACCCCGAUUGCGAAGGCAGCUUACUAAACUGUGACUGACAUUGAUGCUCGAAAGUGUGGGUAUCAAACAGGAUUAGAUACCCUAGUAGUC
Molecule: ribosomal RNA, 460 nt
Filed under: uncultured bacterium
Lineage: Bacteria
Description: partial 16S ribosomal RNA
Rfam family: Bacterial small subunit ribosomal RNA
Source: RNAcentral